This 468-nucleotide ribosomal RNA is filed under the name uncultured bacterium. Its description in RNAcentral is "partial 16S ribosomal RNA". It matches the Rfam family "Bacterial small subunit ribosomal RNA", at positions 28 to 507 of the family's 1533-position model. The record is from RNAcentral.
GACGAACGCUGGCGGCGUGCUUCACACAUGCAAGUCGAACGGAAAGGCCCUGCUUUUGUGGGGUGCUCGAGUGGCGAACGGGUGAGUAACACGUGAGUAACCUGCCCUUGACUUUGGGAUAACUUCAGGAAACUGGGGCUAAUACCGGAUAGGAGCUCCUGCUGCAUGGUGGGGGUUGGAAAGUUUCGGCGGUUGGGGAUGGACUCGCGGCUUAUCAGCUUGUUGGUGGGGUAGUGGCUUACCAAGGCUUUGACGGGUAGCCGGCCUGAGAGGGUGACCGGCCACAUUGGGACUGAGAAACGCCCCAGACUCCUACGGGAGGCAGCAGUGGGGAAUAUUGCACAAUAGGCGGAAGCCAGAUGCAGCAGCGCCGCGUGCGGGAUGACGGCCGUCGGGUUGUAUACCGCUUUGGCCUGUGGCGAAGCGUGUGUGACGGUAAUGGGUAAAGAAGCGCCGGCUAACUACGUG